GUCGAACGGUAACAGGAAGCAGCUUGCUGCUUUGCUGACGAGUGGCGGACGGGUGAGUAAUGUCUGGGAAACUGCCUGAUGGAGGGGGAUAACUACUGGAAACGGUAGCUAAUACCGCAUAACGUCGCAAGACCAAAGAGGGGGACCUUCGGGCCUCUUGCCAUCGGAUGUGCCCAGAUGGGAUUAGCUAGUAGGUGGGGUAACGGCUCACCUAGGCGACGAUCCCUAGCUGGUCUGAGAGGAUGACCAGCCACACUGGAACUGAGACACGGUCCAGACUCCUACGGGAGGCAGCAGUGGGGAAUAUUGCACAAUGGGCGCAAGCCUGAUGCAGCCAUGCCGCGUGUAUGAAGAAGGCCUUCGGGUUGUAAAGUACUUUCAGCGGGGAGGAAGGUGUUGAGGUUAAUAACCUCAGCAAUUGACGUUACCCGCAGAAGAAGCACCGGCUAACUCCGUGCCAGCAGCCGCGGUAAUACGGAGGGUGCAAGCGUUAAUCGGAAUUACUGGGCGUAAAGCGCACGCAGGCGGUCUGUCAAGUCGGAUGUGAAAUCCCCGGGCUCAACCUGGGAACUGCAUUCGAAACUGGCAGGCUAGAGUCUUGUAGAGGGGGGUAGAAUUCCAGGUGUAGCGGUGAAAUGCGUAGAGAUCUGGAGGAAUACCGGUGGCGA
This 668-nucleotide ribosomal RNA is filed under the name uncultured Enterobacter sp. Its description in RNAcentral is "bacterial SSU rRNA". It matches the Rfam family "Bacterial small subunit ribosomal RNA", at positions 61 to 718 of the family's 1533-position model. Lineage: Bacteria; Pseudomonadati; Pseudomonadota; Gammaproteobacteria; Enterobacterales; Enterobacteriaceae. The record is from RNAcentral.